RNAcentral lists this ribosomal RNA (442 nucleotides) under uncultured bacterium. RNAcentral's name for it is "partial 16S ribosomal RNA". It matches the Rfam family "Bacterial small subunit ribosomal RNA", at positions 338 to 795 of the family's 1533-position model. The record is from RNAcentral.
CCUACGGGUGGCAGCAGUGGGGAAUUUUGGGCAAUGGGCGCAAGCCUGACCCAGCAACGCCGCGUGAAGGAAGAAGGCUUUCGGGUUGUAAACUUCUUUUGUCAGGGAAGAGUAGGAGACGGUACCUGACGUAUAAGCCACGGCUAACUACGUCCCAGCAGGCGCGGUAAUACGUAGGUGGCAAGCGUUGUCCGGAUUUACUGGGUGUAAAGGGCGUGUAGCCGGGUUGACAAGUCAGAUGUGAAAUCCUGCGGAUUAACCACAGAACUGCUUUUGAAACUGUUGAUCUUGAGUACUGGAGAGGCAGACGGAAUUCCUAGUGUAGCGGUGAAAUGCGUAGAUAUUAGGAGGAACACCAGUGGCGAAGGCGGUCUGCUGGACAGCAACUGACGGUGAGGCGCGAAAGCGUGGGGAGCAAACAGGAUUAGAUACCCGAGUAGUC